AUAGGUGUAGGCGAAGCGAAAGCGAGUCUGAAUAGGGCGAUUUAGUUAAUGGGAUUAGACUCGAAACCGAGUGAUCUAGUCAUGAGCAGGUUGAAAGUGAAGUAAAAUUCACCGGAGGACCGAACCCACUAGCGUUGAAAAGCUACGGGAUGACUUGUGAUUAGGGGUGAAAGGCCAACCAAACUCGGAAAUAGCUAGUUCUCCGCGAAAACUAUUUAGGUAGUGCGUCGUGUGAAUCUUGUCGGGGGUAGAGCACUGAAUGGGCUAGGGGGAAGCAAUUCCUACCAAACCUAAUCAAACUCCGAAUACCGAUAAGUCUGCACGGCAGACAGUCCAUGGGUGCUAAGGUCCUUGGACGAGAGGGAAACAGCCCAGAUCAACAGCUAAGGUCCCCAAAUAAUGAUUAAGUGUGAAAGGGAGUGGGAACUCCAAGACAGCCAGGAGGUUGGCUUAGAAGCAGCCAUCCUUUAAAGAAAGCGUAACAGCUCACUGGUCUAAUUAAGAGAUCCUGCACCGAAAAUGUAACGGGGCUCAAAUCAUUUACCGAAGCUUUGACAAUUACUUUGUAAUUGGGUAGCGGAGCGUUCUGUAAGCCUGUAAAGGUGAUGCGUAAGCAUUGCUGGAGGUAUCAGAAGUGCGAAUGCUGACAUGAGUAACGAUAAGAAAUGUGAAAGACAUUUCCGCCGAAAUCCUAAGGUUUCCUGCGUAAAGCUAAUCUGCGCAGGGUUAGUCGGCCCCUAAGGCGAGGGCGAAAGCCGUAGUCGAUGGGAAGCAGGUUAAUAUUCCUGCACCAGCUGGUAGUGACGGAUGAAGUAAAUUGUAAGUUCUUACUGGAUUGAGCUUGCAGUGAAUUUGUCCCUGGAAAUAGCUCCAGCAUUAGACCGUACCAAAACCGACACAGGUAGGAGGGUAGAGAAUACCAAGGCGCUUGAGAGAACUAUGUUGAAGGAACUCGGCAAAUUACACUUGUAACUUCGGGAUAAAAGUGACCUGCUAUUGGGCAACCAGUAGGAGGUGGCACAGAAGAGGGGGUAGCGACUGUUUACUAAAAACAUAGCACUAUGCAAAGUCGAAAGACGACGUAUAUGGUGUGACGCCUGCCCGGUGCCGGAAGGUUAAUAGGAGGGGUGCAAGCCCUGAAUUGAAGCCCCGGUGAACGGCGGCCGUAACUAUAACGGUCCUAAGGUAGCGAAAUUCCUUGUCGGGUAAGUUCCGACCUGCACGAAUGGCGUAACGAUUUCCCCACUGUCUCCAACAUAGACUCAGUGAAAUUGAAUUCUCGGUUAAGAUGCCGAGUAACCGUGGUUAGACGGAAAGACCCCGUGCACCUUUACUGCAGCUUUGUAUUGGUAUUAGGGAACAGAUGUGUAGCAUAGGUGGGAGACUUUGAAGGAGUGGCGCUAGCCAUUCUGGAGUCACUAGUGAAAUACCACUCUUCUGUUCCUUGAUGCCUAACCAUACACCGUUAUCCGGUGUUGGGACCAUGCAUGGUGGGCAGUUUGACUGGGGCGGUCGCCUCCCAAAGAGUAACGGAGGCGCGCGAUGGUAGGCUCAGAACGCUUGGAAACCGUUCGUCGAGUGCAAUGGCAUAAGCCUGCCUGACUGCGAGACCCACAAGUCGAGCAGAGACGAAAGUCGGUCAUAGUGAUCCGGUGGCACUUCGUGGAAGGGCCAUCGCUCAACGGAUAAAAGGUACGCCGGGGAUAAC
Molecule: ribosomal RNA, 1708 nt
Filed under: marine metagenome
Description: bacterial LSU rRNA
Rfam family: Bacterial large subunit ribosomal RNA
Source: RNAcentral